AAGAUCACGUGGUGCUUUUGCAUACUCCGUUAGAGGGAAGCACAUAUAAAUCUCGAGCAAACAUGACGGCCAACAAUUUCUUCGUAAAUACAUAGCUUAUUGUCAUUGAAGCAAAGUUGAUUAACUAAAACGAUGCAACAGUUUUUGAAAUGUAAUCUAUGACCCUGAGUGUUCUUGAAAUCGGUGGUCUCUGAGACAGUAGCAAUGCUGUCUCGAAAGUGAGUUCAUAACUGUUAUAGAAUAUGGAAAAAAGCAAAUAAUCUUAUUUAAUAUUUUCAAAAUGUGGAUUUUUAUGAAAUGUGAGCAUCAUCAUGUUUUUAGUGAACGAAACAAUUAGGUUACAUUGACAAGAAGAACACAGUUUUAUACUGAAUAAUAUUAAGUUUAUGUUGAUCAAAAAAGAACAGUAAGCCAAGAUGAACUAUGAUUGUUCGAACUUUUAUAUGGUAAUAUUAAAUAAUCAUUGCAUAACUCUAACAGAUUAUUUUUUAUACAUACUUGUGCAUAUGUAUAGUGUAUAAAGUAAUUUGUUUAUAUUCACAAAAUGCCUCACAUAACACGAAAAUGGGAACUUUUCCCAGGCAGAAAUCGAUUUUGUUGUGAUGGUAGAGUAAUGAUGGCACCACAAACUGGAGUUUUUUAUGUGACUGUGUGUCUCAUUGCUGGAACAAGUGGAUUAUUUUUUGCUUUUGAUUGUCCAUUUUUAGCAGUUCAUAUAACACCUGCUAUUCCAGUUAUUGGUGGUUUGUUAUUUAUUUUUGUAAUGUCCGCUUUAUUCAGAACAAGUUUUAGUGAUCCUGGUGUUAUUCCAAGAGCAACUCUUGAUGAAGCUGCCUAUAUUGAAAAACAGAUUGAGGUACCGAACAAUGGUAAUUCUAAAAUGUAUAGACCUCCACCUCGAACAAAAGAAGUAUUAGUUAAAGGACAACCAGUAAAAUUAAAAUAUUGUUUUACUUGUAAAAUAUUUAGACCACCAAGAGCUUCACAUUGUAGCUUAUGUGACAACUGUGUAGAGAGAUUUGAUCAUCAUUGUCCAUGGGUCGGAAAUUGUGUUGGUAGGAGGAAUUACAGAUAUUUUUAUGCCUUUAUUGUCUCUUUGGCAUUUCUUUGUGUUUUCAUAUUUGCAUGUGCUGUUACGCACUUAAUAAUGCUCACAAAAGAUGAUAGACCAUUUUUAGAAGCAGUGAGGAUAUCUCCUGGAAGUGUUGUUGUAGCAGUUAUAUGUUUUUUUUCUGUUUGGAGUAUUCUUGGUCUUGCUGGUUUUCAUACAUAUUUAACUACUAGUAAUCAGACAACUAAUGAAGAUAUUAAGGGAUCAUUUUCUAUUAAAACAGGGCAAGAAAGUUUCAAUUUAUAUAGUCAAGGAAAUAUAUGUGGAAAUUGUUUCUAUGUAUUGUGUGGACCAGCGCCACCUAGUUUAAUUGAUCGAAGAGGUAUUGUAACUCCAGAAUAUCGCGCAGAACAAGAAAGAGUUGGUGGUGACAAUGUAAUUACUAAUAAUAAAACUUAUGGUACUGUAAAAAUUAUACAACCACAGUCUAAUGGUACAACUGUUCAAACAAAUCCUAGUCCAGAUCUCACAGGUUCUAUGAACAAUCUUGUUUCUGAUCAACAUUCGUCACAAAUUGAAUCAAUAAAUGGUGAGUUAAAUCUUUUGAGGCACAUUACUCAUUACCCGGAGGAUCUUUCGAAAUAUUCACGAGAGUACAUUGAUGAUACUUAUGUUCCGGCAUAUCCCCGACAAUAUUGUUUUCAGGAUUCCAUAAAACAUGUAAAGUAUGAUACAGAAAUAGAAAAUCCAGAUUUUCAAAGAUAUCCAUGUAGGUGUGAAGAGAAUUUACAUAAAUAUUCUCAUAAAUGUAGGGAAGAAUAUCAUAGAUGUUCGGAUAAUAAUUUAAUAUAUGAUCAUGUUAGUGAUCAAAAAUUUGGUAUUGAUCUUCAGAAAUAUCCGCAAAGAUAUUCUGAAGAUUCUGUACGAUAUAAAAUUAAUGAUAAAUAUUACACUGAUCUUCAAAAAUUUCCACAAUGUUACUCUGAAGAUCCACUACGAAUAUCUCAACUUCAUACUCUUAAAUAUAAUAAUUUGAGAUGCACUGUUCAUGGUUUAAAAUAUCCAAUAUCAAAGAAUCUUUUGCCAACUGUUGUAAUGUCACGAAUAUUAGGAGCAGGAGGAAUGCCAAUUAUUGGUCAAAAUGCAAUAGGACUAGCAGUUAACAGAUUUGGUUCAGGACCUUUAACUAAUGCUUUCUCUUAUGCAGAAAAUUCUUUAUGUCCAAAUGAUAAUAUUGAGGAAGAUCUUUUAAAUCGAAGAUUUAUCAUGAGUUCAAUAAGCGAUAAUGAUGAUAUUUAAUGUUUUUUUUUAUAAUAAUUUCAUACUUACCUUCAUUUUAAACCAAUAUUAUUUUACUUAUUGAAAAAGGAAAAAAUCUAAAUGGCUAUAAUUGUUAGGAAAUAAUUUUAAUGUUAAAAUCAAUAUAUAAAUUCUACUAUUAUUAGUAUAAAAUAAACAAAAUUUUAUUAUGCAUAUAAAUAUUAUUAGCAAAAAUAAUAGUAUUAAAAAAUAUUAAAUAUUAACAAAAGUAAUCAUUAAUCAUGUGAUUGUUUAUACUUUCUUAUAUUAUGACUUAUAUAAUAGAUCUUUAUGGAUAAAAAUAUAAGUUGAAUUUGAUUAUUAUUAAUAUUGUUAUUAAGAUUUAUUUAUUUUUUGAUAAUUUAUUUGGUAUUGAAUAUACAUAUAUAGAUUUUUUUACAUAUAAAGAAAAAGGAAGAAAUUAGUAUUUUUGUUAUAAUAUUAUAUAUUUUGAUUGAAAAAAAAACUAAAAUAUUAAUUUCAUUACAAUUUUUUAAUAUUUUGUAAAAAAUACGCGAAUAAUUAUUUUUUACAUUAUAAUGAAAAUAAAUAGAACACAAUUAUUUUAAAAUAUUAAUCUUAAAGCAUAAAAAAAUUAAUCUAAAUAUAAAUUUGAAUUAUCAUCAAAUAUAAAAUAAUUAAAUUUUUCCUUAUUUAGACAUAUUUUUAUAUGAUUCAAUAAAUUAUAUUUAUUUGUUGUUUAAAAAUUACGUCCUGUAUCGAGGGCUCAGAGCAUACCAUUUGGUAGUACUACAAACAGCGUGAGUCAACUUGUUACCAAUGAAGUACCACUAGCAUCACUUAAUAUAGCUCCAAUUGAUAUCGAUGAAAUUGCUCCGCUGCCUUC
Molecule: unclassified non-coding RNA, 3197 nt
Organism: Apis florea (little honeybee)
Lineage: Eukaryota; Metazoa; Arthropoda; Insecta; Hymenoptera; Apidae
Source: RefSeq, a predicted model, not a curated record